Molecule: long non-coding RNA, 1467 nt
Filed under: Salmo trutta (river trout)
Lineage: Eukaryota; Metazoa; Chordata; Actinopteri; Salmoniformes; Salmonidae
Description: lncRNA (ENSSTUG00000007437.1)
Source: RNAcentral
UCCAUUCUAUUCUAUUCUAUUCCAUUCUAUUCUAUUCCAUUCCAUUCUAUUCUAUUCCAUUCUAUUCUAUUCUAUUCUAUUCUAUUCCAUUCUAUUCCAUUCUAUUCUAUUCUAUUCUAUCCUAUUCUAUUCUAUUCCAUUCUAUUCCAUUCUAUUCUAUUCCAUUCCAUUCCAUUCCAUUCCAUUCUAUUCCAUUCUAUUCUAUUCUAUUCUACUCCAUUCCAUUCCAUUCUAUUCUAUUCCAUUCUAUUCUAUUCUAUUCUACUCCAUUCCAUUCCAUUCCAUUCCAUUCCAUUCUAUUCCAUUCUAUUCUAUUCUAUUCUAUUCUACUCCAUUCCAUUCCAUUCUAUUCUAUUCCAUUCUAUUCCAUUCUAUUCCAUUCCAUUCCAUUCCAUUCCAUUCUAUUCUAUUCUAUUCUAUUCUACUCCAUUCCAUUCCAUUCUAUUCUAUUCCAUUCUAUUCCAUUCCAUUCCAUUCCAUUCUAUUCCAUUCCAUUCUAUUUCAUUCCAUUCCAUUCUAUUCCAUUCCAUUCCAUUCCAUUCUAUUCCAUUCCAUUCUAUUCCAUUCCAUUCUAUUUCAUUCCAUUCCAUUCUAUUCCAUUCUAUUCCAUUCCAUUCUAUUCCAUUCCAUUCUAUUCCAUUCCAUUCCAUUCCAUCUCCCUUCUCCUCUCACUGUACUAAUUGCUUUCAUACCCCUCUGGUCCAGGUCUGCAGAGGGAUCAUCUAGGAUGGCCUCUGCUCCUCAAUCCACCAUCUCGACAAGUCAAGAUACAGUCCCACCCUCUCCUUCACUGGCCAAUCCUGCAGCUUGCUGUCCACCUACAACUGCCACAAACAACCAAUCAGCAACUACUCUGUCGCCAAGCAACAACCAGUCUACAUUGGAAGUGAGUAGCCCGGUCCCUACACUGCGCAGCAUCAACAAGAAGGCCAAGUCCAGGCCUAUGGACAAGGACGGACGCUACCGGAACGGUCUCAGCCACACCUCCAUCUACCUGUCCAAGGCUAAGAAACCUUCCCUUGCAGAGGACCUGGGGGGUGUAGGGGGAGUGACGGGGGUCAACAACCGGCUGCCUGGACCGGGUGGGCCUGAAGACCAGCAGACACUGCCCCUGCCUCAGAGACAACGCAGGGACAACACACACAUCAGCACGGAGGAGGAAACAGGACGAAGACCAUCCCCUUCCCUUAUAGAUCUGCACAUCCUGGAGACAGACCAACACAUCUCAUCACACAACUGCCCCCAUCCUGACAGCUGCAGGUGGGUCUUCCUGUGUGGUUCUCUACACAGCUGUGGAUCUGCCUGUGUGGUUCUCUACACAGCUGUGAGUCUGCCUGUGUGGUUCUCUACACAGCUGUGAGUCUGCCUGUGUGGUUCUCUACACAGCUGUGGAUCUGCCUGUGUGGUUCUCUACACAGCUGUGAGUCUGCCUGUGUGGUUCUCUACACAGCUGUGAGUCUGCCUGUG